Molecule: ribosomal RNA, 483 nt
Filed under: uncultured bacterium
Lineage: Bacteria
Description: bacterial SSU rRNA
Rfam family: Bacterial small subunit ribosomal RNA
Source: RNAcentral
AUUGAACGCUGGCGGCAUGCUUUACACAUGCAAGUCGAACGGCAGCACGGGCUUCGGCCUGGUGGCGAGUGGCGAACGGGUGAGUAAUGCAUCGGAACGUACCGUGUAGUGGGGGAUAACGUAGCGAAAGUUACGCUAAUACCGCAUACGCCCCGAGGGGGAAAGUGGGGACCGCAAGGCCUCACGCUAUAUGAGCGGCCGAUGUCGGAUUAGCUAGUUGGUAGGGUAAAGGCCUACCAAGGCGACGAUCCGUAGCGGGUCUGAGAGGAUGAUCAGCCACACUGGAACUGAGACACGGUCCAGACUCCUACGGGAGGCAGCAGUAGGGAAUAUUGGACAAUGGGGGCAACCCUGAUCCAGCCAUGCCGCGUGAGUGAAGAAGGCCCUCGGGUUGUAAAGCUCUUUUGUCCGGAAAGAAAAGCAAUCGGUUAAUACCCGGUUGUUCUGACGGUACCGGAAGAAUAAGCACCGGCUAACUUCGUG